CACUGGUGAAUAAGGGGUGGGCAAGUUCUGGUGUCAGCCGCCGCGGUAAAACCAGCACCUCAAGUGGUCAGGAUGAUUAUUGGGCCUAAAGCAUCCGUAGCCGGCUUUGUUAGUUUUCGGUUAAAUCCAUGUGCUCAACGCAUGGGCUGCCGAAAAUACUGCAUAGCUAGGGAGUGGGAGAGGUAGACGGUACUCAGUAGGAAGGGGUAAAAUCCUUUGAUCUAUUGAUGACCACCUGUGGCGAAGGCGGUCUACCAGAACACGUUCGACGGUGAGGGAUGAAAGCUGGGGGAGCAAACCGGAUUAGAUACCCGGGUAGUCCCAGCUGUAAACGAUGCAGACUCGAUGAUGCAUUGGCAUAAUAGCCAAUGCAGUGUCGCAGGGAAGCCGUUAAGUCUGCCGCCUGGGAAGUACGUACGCAAGUAUGAAACUUAAAGGAAUUGGCGGGGGAGCACCACAAGGGGUGAAGCCUGCGGUUCAAUUGGAGUCAACGCCAGAAAUCUUACCCGGAGAGACAGCAGAAUGAAGGUCAAGCUGAAGACUUUA
Molecule: ribosomal RNA, 546 nt
Filed under: uncultured archaeon
Lineage: Archaea
Description: bacterial SSU rRNA
Rfam family: Archaeal small subunit ribosomal RNA
Source: RNAcentral